CCUACGGGUGGCAGCAGUGAGGAAUAUUGGUCAAUGGCCGGAAGGCUGAACCAGCCAAGCCGCGUGAAGGACGAAGGUGCCAAGCAUUGUAAACUUCUUUUGUCAAGGGACAAAAUCAGGCUCGAGAGCCUGACCGAGGGUACUUGAAGAAAAAGCAUCGGCUAACUCCGUGCCAGCAGCCGCGGUAAUCCGGAGGAUGCGAGCGUUAUCCGGAUUUAUUGGGUUUAAAGGGUGCGUAGGCGGACUGUUAAGUCAGCGGUAAAAGCCCGGGGCUCAACCCCGGCGAGCCGUGGAAACUGGCUGUCUUGAGAUGUCGAGAGGUAUGCGGAAUGCGCAGUGUAGCGGUGAAAUGCGUAGAUAUUGCGCAGAACCCCGAUUGCGAAGGCAGCCUUCCGGCGCCCUACUGACGCUGAGGCACGAAAGUGCGGGGAUCGAACAGGAUUAGAUACCCCUGUAGUC
RNAcentral lists this ribosomal RNA (459 nucleotides) under uncultured bacterium. Its description in RNAcentral is "partial 16S ribosomal RNA". It matches the Rfam family "Bacterial small subunit ribosomal RNA", at positions 338 to 795 of the family's 1533-position model. The record is from RNAcentral.